Molecule: non-coding RNA, 7483 nt
Organism: Microcebus murinus (gray mouse lemur)
Lineage: Eukaryota; Metazoa; Chordata; Mammalia; Primates; Cheirogaleidae
Source: RefSeq, a predicted model, not a curated record
GGGAGUGGGGCGCGGGACGAAGGGUGGGGGCCGCGGCGGGCGGGCGGCUUCCUCGCCUGACCCCCGACCCCCUCGCCCGGCCCCUGGGCGAGAGCCGGCCAGGGAACUCUGGAAUUGGACAAAUGAGCACUUACUCAGCAUAUCCCCCUCCCGUAGGUCUUGUUGACCUUGGUAGCUUCAUGGAGGUCGUGUGUUCGUGGAAAUGAACAGUUCUUGACAGUUUACUCCAGUGGGACAUUCCUCUGGAUAUUUAUGGCUUUUAAAAAUAAAGCUUCUAACAACAUCUAUGUGUAUGUCUUUGUAUGGACAUGUACUUUUCAUUUUUCUGUGUAUACACCUAGGAGUGAAAUGGCUGAAUCAUAUGAACUGUUUUUGCUAGUCGAGGUCCUCUGCAUUUCCUUAUGGUUUUUAGAGUAAGUUUAUUGAUUUUUUAAAAAAGCCUACUUGAGAUUUUGGCUGAGAUUGCAUUGAAUCUAUAGGUCUAUUUGGAAAUAAUUGACAUUUUAGAAAUACUGAGUCUCUGACCCAUGAACAUGAUAUAGCAUCUAUUUAGGGUUUCUUUAAUUUUUCUCAGCAAUAUUUGGUAGUUUUUAGGGUACAAGUCUUUUAUAUUGUGGUCACAUAUAUCCAUCUGUAAGUUCAGUUCUCUAGAGAAACAGAACCAAUAUAGGUGUGUAUGGUGAACAAUAUGUGUGUAUGUGUAUGGAGAGAGAAAGAGAGAGAGACUGAUUUUAAUAAGUUGGCUUGUGUGAUUGUGGUGGCUGACAUGUCCAAAAUUCAUAGGACAGGCAGAGAGGCAGGCAGGCAGGCAGGCAGGCAGGCUAGAGCUUCAGGCAGAUUUCUGUUAUAGUCUUGAGGUAAAAUUCCUUCUUCCCAGGGAAACCUUAGUAUUUUGCUUUUAAGGCUUUGAACUGAUAGGCCUACUGGCAUUAUGAAGGGUAGCUUCUUUCUUUAAUGUCAACUGAUUGUAAGCAUUAAUCACGUCUACAAAAUACCUUUACAGCAAUAUCUAGACUAGUGUUUGACUGAACAGCUGGGCACUGUAGCCUAGCCAGGACAACACAUUUAAUGCUGUUAUAAAUGUUACAUAUUUUAAGUGCAAUUUCUGAUUGUUACUAGUUCACUAUUUCUUUUAUUUUUAAACUAUAGCCUUCUUUUCAUUACUCUUAAACAGAUGAGUGACAGUCUUUUCAUCCUAAAUUAGGAUUACCCUCCAUCUUUUUUAGACAUAACCUUAAAAAUAUGAAUUUUUAAAGGAAAGUCCUAAGGUUUCUUAAUCUCUUAAUUUUUUGUUUAUUAGAAUCAUCUGACAGAAAUUGCAGUUUCAUUUUAACAGUCUUAUCUCAUUUUAGCCAGCUUUCCUGUUAUUUUUUUCAUCGCAGGAUUAUAAUAAUCCAUAAAUAAUUUAGAGAUUAAAAUAAUUAUUGACCAUAUAGAGGCAUUCAGUAAAUAUUAACAGAUGUCUGUUACUAGAAUAUAUUCCAUUACAGAAUCAUGGAAUUAUUGAGCUAAAUGAACCUUAAGAAUUAGUCUUAAUUUUUUCCUUUUAUAGAAGAAGGAACUUAUGCAAAGAGGUUAAGUGGCUCACAUCAUAUAAACAUUAGAAAAAUAAAAAUAAACCUGGUUUUCAUUAUCCUCCUAGUUGUAGGAUGACAGGUUCUUGAACCAAAAUGUGCAACAAGGGAAAAGAUAGUGACAUCUAUUUGCUUUGUAUCUGCUGCAUUCUCUGUUGCUCAUUUAUUUUACACCUAUGUUAUUUCACACUUAUCCUGGGACUCAGGAUAUUGGGAUUUGUCAAACAGUUCCUCCUUUAGUGUGGAAACAGACAAGUUAACACACAGUUGCCAUGUAAGUUAAAUGCUAUGAUAAAGGCAAGGUUAGCAUGUUGUAGGAGUACCUAAUGGGUAUGUCUGCUCAGUGGUUCUAAGUUUAGAUUCUAUUAACAUAUAGAGUUGAAUGAGCUUGGCUCCUCAUUUCAAUGUAGUAUAUAUUAUAUUUCCUUUCCUGUACUUUUUUUGCCUCCCAGCCAUAGAUCUGGACUAAACAUAAGCUAGUUUGAAGGCUAUACAUACAUCAGGCCCAGUGGGUUAAUCCAUGCCUGACCAAUAAGACCUAUCUUUACAGCCAGCAUGAGGGCAGCAUGACUUAUUUUAAAUAGAAGCCCAGUUAGAGACUCAUGUAAGAAUAGUUGAUCUUGAAUAGAUGUAUUCCUUCUCUUAAAUGAUGCAUAUUUUAUUCUUAAUUUUGAAAAAUUCUGAAAGGAAAUUGAGCAGUAAUCUUUUUGUUUGUUAAUUUUGGCUUGUUUUCCCUUUACUGUUUUCUACUUUGAGGUGUGGCCAUUUCUAAGAGCACUAGCACAUGAAGUUCAUUGUUGAUGUUAUAACAUGUUCUGAAUCUUAAAAUAAGGUACCAAAAAUGCAUUCAGAGAAUAACUAGAUAAAGUAGCACUGCUAUAAUUAGGGAGAAACAGUAGUUUUCUUUUAAGUCUUUCUCUUUCAAGAGCUUAUAAUUUUCUAUAAAACUCAAACAUUAUCCCCUGGGCAGGUGUAUUUUAUUCUUGCUCUUCAUUCUGUUAUAAAGUUUGAUUUAAAAAGAAUAGUUAUUUUUUUCUCCUACACAAGGUAUGUUCAUAUUUGAAUUUUUUUUAAGACUCAUUGCUGUAUCCUGAGCCUGCCUUCAUUUAAAGAAUAAUAUAUUUGAUCUACAAAGGAGUAUCUUUGACAUGUAUGUGUGUGUAUAAAUUAAAACUUGAAAAUAUGGCAUACAUUGUUGAGAAUAUUAAGUGAUUCCUGAAGACUAUACUAUAUUUGCUCAGAGUAUUAGAUAGCAACCAGUUUUAACAGUCUAAUGUGGUAAGUGAUAUGGCAUUACCACCUCUUGGAUCAUGUGAGCAUAAAACUAUCCAUCUCCAUUAUCCAUCUCCUGAGUUUAUGAAGAAGAAAGUGAGAAUCUUAGAAAUUUGAACUGAGAAAAUUGGACUCAAGUUAGCAGUUUAAAAUGUGAAACCAAAUUGUGUAUGAGUUAGUUUUCUCCUCUUUAUUUUGUGCAGAUUAAAGAACUGAACUAUAUAAGGAUUUUCCAUGAAAAGGUGAAUAAGCUUUCUGAAAUGAAUGAUUUUAGUCUGUAUAGAAAUCAUCUCCAGCUGUAAUAAAUGUAAAACUGUCAGCUCUUUGAAUAUCUCUUUGCAACAAUUAAUCAUCCUUCUCAGUUUACGGCACAGGUGAGAGAACACUCUGUGUAUGUUGCUUUCUGUCUCACGUUCCUCAUUUACAAAAAGAAGAUAAUAUUGGUACCUGCCUUAUAGUGUUCUUGCAAGGAUUAAAUGAGUUAAUAUAUGUAAAGCGUAUAGCAUAUUACCUCAAACAUAGCAGUAUUUAAGUGUUUAUCAUUUUUAUUGUUGCAUAUCUAUUCUAUUUUUAUUGUUGCAUGUCAUAUUUAAGUGAAGUUUUGUUAGUGAAGUUUUCGCAGAGAACUUGACAUUUGAACUGGGUAAACAGAACUUAUAAAAGUAAAAUAUAAAGAAUUGAAAAUAUUAAAAGCUUUGUGAACAAAGUUGUUAAGAAGUAAAGAAUCUUUCCCCUUUUUUCUCUUUCCAUUUAUUGCAUACUUGCUAUAUGCCUGCCACUGAGCUCAGUGUUUGAUGAACAUUACAUUAUAUUAUUUAAUUCUCACAAUAACCCUACAAGAUAGGUAUUUUAAAUUGUCAUUUUACAUGUAGGAAGGUAGCCACAGAAAAAUAAAGUCACUUUUUCAAAGUCACAAAGUUAAAUGUUUGGCCUAGUUCUGUCAGUUUGUAUAGCCCCGGUUCUUAGUUAUUAUUUAAUACUGCCUUCCUAGGAAUAGACUAUCAGAAGAUCAUUCCAAAAAAAUCUUUAAAAAGAUGAAUACUCCAGGGUUGGAGUUCAAAACAUUAAUAGAAUUAUAAUAUCAAGGAUGCAUGUGAUCGCUUUGUCACUGUAAGAGAUUGGAUGCUGUGUUUGCUAGUUGCUUCAAAAGAUUGAAGAGAAACAGGCAAGCCUGUCCUUGCUGAAUACAUCGUUUCCUCUGUGAUUCUGUCAGUAUGCAAGUACUUUUUUUUUCUGAACUGGGAAUGAUGGUAUUGUGGUUAUUGAAGUUUUUAUUAUCUCUUACUAGAAAUUAUACAAAUUUUCCCAAUAGUAUUUUGGUUGAUACUUUGGAUUUCAAAGUUUCCACAUACUUUUGUUUCUUAGAAUUGCUGUUUGAGUACCCUUUUUAGUUCCCUGCAUCAGAGAAAUGUCUAUAUUUCUACUUUCCAGUCUUCAGCAUUUAUGGUUUCAUGUUAGUGAGGUUUGUUUAGAAUAUAAUUAGAAUAAUCUUAAAUCUGUUACUGAUUGUGCCUUCCAUCCCUUAGCUACUUGUCAUAUCUUUCUUUUGAAACUUUUAAGGAAUAAUUCCAUACUCAUUCUUUUUCUGUUCACAUAUCUCACUGCUGUUAUUCAGACUUUAAUUUUAAGGCCAGAAGCAGUGGCUCAUGCCUGUAAUCCCAGCGCUUUGGGAGGCCAGUGGGAGGAUCUCUUGAGGUCAGGAAUUCAAGACUAGAUUUUAAUUUUAAAUUUUUUUGUCUUUGUAUAUUAAUUCCUUUCAUUAAUUAGCUGACAGUAGUUUUUCUCACCUAUGUUUUUUAAUGCCUUUCUUUACUGUUUAAAACUCCCAUUUUCAGAAGAUGUAGCCAAUGACUCAGGUGCUGUUCUUGCUUCAGACUUUUGUAAGACUAGAAUCUAGAAUCUUGAUAACUAAGAUCUUUCUCUAGAAUUUAUAUAUUUCCUUCUGCUUUUAAAAGGGAAGAACAUAUGGAAACAAAUAAAUAUAAGAGAUUUUGCCAAAAAUUAAAAAAUAAAACCCCAAAACAUUCAAGAUUUGUCAGUGAACAUUUAAUACCUGUUAUAAGAAAUUAUGAAGAUUUUUACCUUUAAGUAAAUCUCAUCUCUGUCCUUUUUUAAAAAAAUAAAUUAUCCACCAUGAGGCAGACCUCUAUGAUCCUAAACUAUUACAGUGACCUUAUAGCUAGUUGCUUAUCUACAUCACCUACCCCCUUUUCAGAUCAUCAUCUUUUCAGAUCACCAACAGCCUGACAUUUCUUAAACAGUAAUCUAAUUUUGUUGUAUUGUCUUAAAAAUCUUUAUUGGCUCUUUUUUGCCCAUAGUGUUAUCUAAAUCCCUGACAGGCUUCAUCCAAUCUUGCAUGGCUCCUUUAGAUUUGUAAGCUCUGUGAGAAUAGGUACCUUACCUAUUCACCACUCUUAUUUCCAUAUCUAGAUCAUUACCUGAAACAGCUGCUUAUUCCUAAACUCUGGCUUCCAAAACUUGUGCAUCUAGUCAGUUACAGGUAUGUUGAGAGUUAGUUAUUGGUGCCUUCUACCUUUGGGAUGACCAGAUGGGUCUUGGCUUGUGAUUCAGAGGGCACCACUAAGAGUUAUUGGAGUUGAGGUCUCUGCAUAAUGAUAAUGAUAUGCUGAGCACAGACAAGAAGAUGUUCUGCAAUCUUGGUAUCUACUUCAGCAACCUGCUUCAGAGUGUACUACUGGCCAUUGUGGAUAAGGGCCCAUAGAGCUGCUGGAGAGUUUAUGUUCCAAGUGCCUGAGGAGCCAGCACAGCAAAAGUGUUACUCCUAGUUGGAAGUUGGGGCUGGAAGCUAUAGAGGCCAGGCAGGGGUUCUAGACUAUAGGCAGAAAUCUCAACUGUGUCUUCGCAUAUGUUGAAUGUAUUUGGAACAUUUGUGGCUGAUACUUCUUUAGUGGCAUUCAAGUUAGCCAUAGUGUGGCCAGUAUAACAUCGUGUGUUCAUCUGCAGUUUAUUUUUAAAUCAUUUGAUAUUGAUAUGAACUUGGUAUGAAGAUGUUCAAAUGAUUUUGAAAUCUUGCCAAUGAAAUAGAAGACUUUUUGGAUGUUUAAAUAUAAUUUUAACUAUUGUAUUUGACUAAAAUAAAAUAAAUGAUUGUUUUUCAAUGAGCAAAUAAGUUAAAGUACCAAAGAUUUGAAGGAAAAUGUGACCUCUUCCAGGAACAGCAGUCAGGCUUUAUGAAUGAUAAAUUUGUAGGAGAAUCAUUUAUCUCUUUUGUCUAUAGAAGAGGACUUUUUUUCAAGAAUGGCAUUAAGUAGAUUAUUUACAAAAAACGCUUGAAAGUAGAAUAUUUAAAACUAAAUAAAUGUAAAUAGACAAUUUCUGAAAAAUAAAACUUCUGAAAUUAGCUAAGUAGUAAGCACACUUCAGAGCAUGGUAUCAAUUUGAGGCUAUAUGCAUGCUCUCCAUGUCACUAAGGUUCACAGAAUAUCUAGGUUUCUUAAAUCCUUAUUUGGUGAAAUCUCUUUUUGCUUAUACAUUGAGACUAGAGUUGGCAAUUUUUCACCAGAUGUGGAUUUUGAAAAUUAAGUAUACUUCUUGAAAUGUGGGUUGCAUUAUAGCAAUGUAUUUAUAUGGUGCUACUCUCCAGGUUUACAGGAAACUUAAAUGUUAAUAGUUUGACUUACAUAUGAAUCAUGGAAAUCACUCUGGAAUCUAUACUGGUUGUCAUUUUUGUUUUAGGUGCAGGUUGUGGUGUUUACUUAAGUCUCCUAAACAGAGUUUGGAAUCUCUGCACACUCUGUUAUCUGAAGGAAGGAAAAGACUCUGCUCUUCAGUUCCUUCUUGCUGCUGCUAGAACUUUCAAUGUGCACGACUUUGAGAAUUUAAAAAGGUGCUGGCUACCAUUCAACUUACUAUCAGUUUUGAUUGUAGUCAGUGAAUUUUGAAAAAAAUUCUGAAUGCCCUGUAGUUGAAUAAAAAAUAUUUGAUCCUUUUGCCCAAAGCACUCCCCUACUCUACUUCCCCUUUAGGUUUGAAGCAUUCCUAUGCAGACAGUUUUGGAUAAGUACCUAACAAAUCAGCGUUUAUGUAAAUAUAUGGCACCCAUAUUACAGGAAGGUGUAUUGUCUUUGUUGAGAAUAGUAAUGGAGAAAACAUAAUCAUGGAAAUGAUAAAGUCAAUUAUCCAUUAAUGCAUCCUGGGGUUUUAAUAUUACCUUUGCCCCCAACCUAUAAUGCAACAUGCAUUUAGUUCAUAAUAUCACUACUACAUUUUUAAUGAAAUUUUUUUCAGCUUUGAUCUUUAAUCACAGUUAAGGUGAUCAGUUCAUCCUUGUUUGUCCAGGGCUUUCCUGGUUUUGAAACUCAAAAUCCCCUGUCCAGGGAACCCUGUCAGUCCUGAACCGAGAUUGCUUUCUGUGAAAUACUUUUAUUUUCCUUAAGUGUUGUAAAUAACCCUACCCAUUAUAUAAAUAAUGCAGGAAAUAAUGACGAAAGUGCUCAGUCCUAGACUCAGAGGAUUCUCUGGACAAGGGAUUUUGAGAUAGAGUGUCUUGUGAAGUAUUUUUUUCUUGUUUUUAUUUUCUUGUAAUUAGUAAUGUGGGUGUUUUCUCCUCUGUUACCAGUUUUCCAAUUCCUUGUGAAUUCUUGCUUUCUGGCAAGUUCUUUCUCCCUGUUACCCCC